UUCCUUUAGGUAAAGAGACCAGGACAGCAAGCAGAGGUAUGUUAUGUUAAGGUUGUUGUGUAUAUUUAUGCCCUCUCUGCCCAUUUCCUUUAGGUAAAAAGACCAGGACAGCAAGCAGAGGUAUGUUAUGUUAGUUUGUUGUGUAUAUUAUGCCCUUCUGUCCAUUUCCUUUAGGUAAAGAAACCAGGACAGCAACAGAGUUGUUAUGUUAAGUUGUUGUGUAUAAUUUAUGCUCUCUGCCCAUUUCUUUAGGUAAAGAUACCAGACAGCAAGCAGAGGUAUGUUAUGUGGUUGUGGUUAAUUUAUAUGCCCUCUCUGUCCCAUUUCCUUUAGGUAAAGAGACCAGGACAGCAAGCAGAGGUAUGUUAUGUUAAGGUUGUUGUGUAUAUUAUGCCCUCUCUGUCCCAUAUUUCUUUAGGUAAGAGGUAAAGAGACCAGGACAGGAAGCAGAGGUAUGUUAUGUUAAGGUGUUGUGUAUAGUUAUGCCCUCUCUGUCCAUUUCUUUAGGUAGAGACCAGGACAGCAAGCAGAGGUAUGUUAUGUUAAGUUGUUGUGUAUAUUUAUGCCUCUCUGUCCAUUUCCUAGGUAAAGAGACCAGGACAGCAAGCGGAGGUAUGUUAUGUAAGGUUGUGUGUAUUUUUGCCCUCUCUGCCCAUUUCCUUUGGUAAAGAACCAGGACAGCAAGCAGAGGUAUGUUAUGUUAAGGUUGGUAUAUUUAUGCCCUCUCUGCCCUUCCUUUCGUAAAGAACAGGACAGCAAGCAGAGGUAUUUAUGUUAAGGUUGUUAUGUAUAUUUAUGCUCUCUGUCCCUUUCCUUUAGGUAAAGAGACCAGGCAGCAGCAGAGGUAUGUUAUGUUAAGUUGUUUUGUAUAUUUAUGCCUCUCUGUCCCAUUUCCUUUGGUAAAGAGACGGACAGCAAGCAGAGGUAUGUUAUGUUAAGGUUGUUUUGUAUAUUUAUGCCCUCUCUGUCCAUUCCUUGGUAAAGAGACCAGGACAAGCAGAGGUAUGUUAUGUUAAGUUUGUUGUGUAUAAUUAUGCCUCUCUGUCCCAUUUCCUUUAGGUAAAGAAGUCCAGGACAUAGAAGGUAUGUUAUGUUAAGUUUGUUGUGUAUAGUUAUGCCUCUCUGUCCCAUUUCCUUUGUAAAGAGCCCAGGACAGCAAGCAGAGGUAUUUUAGUUAAGGUUGUUGUGUAUAUUUAUGCCCUCUCUGUCCCAUUUCCUUUAGGUAAAGAGUCCAGGACAGCAAGCAGAGGUAUGUUAUGUUAAGGUUGUUUUUGUAUAUUUAUGCCCUCUCUGUCCCAUUUCCUUUAGGUAAAGAGACCAGGACAGCAAGCAGAGGUAUGUUUAUGUUAAGGUUGUUGUGUAUAUUUAUGCCCUCUCUGUCCCAUUUCCUUUAGGUAGAGACCAGGACAGCAAGCAGAGGUAUGUUAUGGUAAGGUUGUUUUGUAUAUUUAUGCCCUCUCUGCCCUAUUUCCUUUAGUUAAAGAGACCAGAACAGCAAGCAGAGGUAUGUUAUGUUGAGGUUGUUGUGUACAUUUAUGCCCUCUCUGCCCAUUUCCUUUAGUAAAGAGACCAGGACAGCAAGCAGAGGUAUGUUAUGUUAAGGUUGUUGUGUAUAUUUAUGCCUCUCUGUCCCAUUUCCUUUAGGUAAAGAGACCAGGACAGCAAGCAGAGGUAUGUUAUGUUAAGGUUGUUGUGUAUAUUUAUGCCCUCUCUGCCAUUUCCUUUAGGUAAAAAG
RNAcentral lists this long non-coding RNA (1735 nucleotides) under Mytilus galloprovincialis (Mediterranean mussel). The record is from RNAcentral. Lineage: Eukaryota; Metazoa; Mollusca; Bivalvia; Mytilida; Mytilidae.